This 391-nucleotide ribosomal RNA is filed under the name uncultured bacterium. RNAcentral's name for it is "partial 16S ribosomal RNA". It matches the Rfam family "Bacterial small subunit ribosomal RNA", at positions 524 to 918 of the family's 1533-position model. The record is from RNAcentral.
UACGUAUGUCGCAAGCGUUAUCCGGAUUUAUUGGGCGUAAAGCGCGUCUAGGCGGCUUAGUAAGUCUGAUGUGAAAAUGCGGGGCUCAACCCCGUAUUGCGUUGGAAACUGCUAAACUAGAGUACUGGAGAGGUAGGCGGAACUACAAGUGUAGAGGUGAAAUUCGUAGAUAUUUGUAGGAAUGCCGAUGGGGAAGCCAGCUUACGGGACAGAUACUGACGCUAAAGCGCGAAAGCGUGGGGAGCAAACAGAAUUAGAUUCCCUGUUAGUCCACGCCGUAAACGAUGAUUACUAGGUGUUGGGGGUCGAACCUCAGCGCCCAAGCUAACGCGAUAAGUAAUCCGCCUGGGGAGUACGUACGCAAGUAUGAAACUCAAAUGAAUUGACGGGG